RNAcentral lists this ribosomal RNA (389 nucleotides) under uncultured bacterium. Its description in RNAcentral is "bacterial SSU rRNA". It matches the Rfam family "Bacterial small subunit ribosomal RNA", at positions 28 to 417 of the family's 1533-position model. The record is from RNAcentral.
GACGAACGCUGGCGGCGUGCUUAACACAUGCAAGUCGAGCGGUAAGGGCCCUUUCGGGGGUACACGAGCGGCGAACGGGUGAGUAACACGUGGGUGACCUGCCCUCAGCUCUGGGAUAAGCCUGGGAAACCGGGUCUAAUACUGGAUAUGACUCCAUGACGCAUGUUGUGGGGUGGAAAGCCUUGUGCGGCUGAGGAUGGGCCCGCGGCCUAUCAGCUUGUUGGUGGGGUGANGGCCUACCAAGGCGACGACGGGUAGCCGGCCUGAGAGGGCGACCGGCCACACUGGGACUGAGACACGGCCCAGACUCCUACGGGAGGCAGCAGUGGGGAAUCUUGCGCAAUGGGCGAAAGCCUGACGCAGCGACGCCGCGUGAGGGAUGACGGCCU